RNAcentral lists this ribosomal RNA (430 nucleotides) under uncultured bacterium. RNAcentral's name for it is "bacterial SSU rRNA". It matches the Rfam family "Bacterial small subunit ribosomal RNA", at positions 355 to 776 of the family's 1533-position model. The record is from RNAcentral.
UGGGGAAUAUUGCGCAAUGGACGAAAGUCUGACGCAGCAACGCCGCGUGAGUGAAGAAGGCCUUUGGGUUGUAAAGCUCUUUCGGUUGGGAAGAAGUGUAAUUGUGUAAAUAGCAUAGUUAUGUGAUGGUACCAAAAGAAGAAGCACCGGCUAACUUCGUGCCAGCAGCCGCGGUAAUACGAAGGGUGCGAGCGUUGUUCGGAAUUACUGGGCGUAAAGGGUUUGUAGGCUGAAAUGUAAGUCAAGUGUGAAAUCCCCGAGCUUAACUUGGGACGUGCAUUUGAAACUGUGUUUCUUGAGUAUCGUAGAGGGUGGUGGAAUUGCAGGUGUAGGAGUGACAUCCGUAGAGAUUUGCAGGAACAUCAGAGGCGAAAGCGACCACCUGGCCGAUUACUGACGCUGAGGAACGAAAGCGUGGGGAGCAAACAGG